Molecule: unclassified non-coding RNA, 987 nt
Filed under: Hevea brasiliensis (rubber tree)
Lineage: Eukaryota; Viridiplantae; Streptophyta; Magnoliopsida; Malpighiales; Euphorbiaceae
Source: RNAcentral
GCAUUUGUGGAAACACUGCUACCUCAGGCUAAAACUCCUCCUCAAGAUACCUUGCAGAAACUGGAGAAGGACCAUACUUUCAAAGAACUCUCUGAGGAAAGCUCUCUGUUUGUGUUUAAGCUAGGUUUGGCUAAGAGACAAUGUUGCCUCUUGUUCAAUGGGCUUGUCCAUGAGCCCACUGAGGAUGCUCUUAUGAAUGCAAUGAAUGAUGAGCUUCCUAAAAUACAAGAACACGUUUAUUUUGGGCACAUAAACUCUCAUACAGAUAUCCUGGACAAGUUUCUAUCAGAGAGUGGCGUGCAGCGCUAUAACCCACUGAUUAUAGCUGAAGGGAAAGUCAAACCGAGAUUUGUAUCUCUCUCUGCUUUAAUUCUAGCAGACAACUCAUUUUUCAAUGAAAUCAACUACUUACAUUCUACAGAAACAAUAGAUGAUUUGAAGCCCGUGACUCAUCUUCUUGCUGUCAAUAUCGCGUCAGAGAAAGGGAUGAGAUUUCUUCGUGAAGGAAUACAUUAUCUGAUGACGGGCACCACAACUGGACGCUUGGGAGUGCUGUUUAACUCCAUUCAGGAUCCUCACUCACCAAGCAUUUUUUUCAUGAAAGUUUUCCAAAUCACAGCUUCAUCAUAUAGUCACAAGAAAGGCGCUCUGCAGUUCCUGGACCAAAUUUGUUUGCUUUAUCAACAUGAAUAUAUGCAUGCAUCUUCUGCGGGUACUGGAAACAGCGAGGCAUUUAUGGAUAAGGUCUUUGAACUGGCUAAUUCAAAUGGAUUGUCCUCAAUGGGACUCAAGUCUGCUCUCUCUGGACUUUCUGAUGAGAAGUUGAAAAUGCACUUGAAGAAGGUGGGGAAGUUUUUGUUUGGAGAAGUUGGCUUGGAGUAUGGUGCCAAUGCAGUUAUUACAAAUGGGAGAGUGAUUAGCCUAGCUGACAACACAACAUUCUUGAGCCAUGAUUUGCAACUUUUGGAGUCUCUGGAAUUUAAGCAA